UAGUUCCUACGGGACGCAGCAGUGGGGAAUAUUGCACAAUGGGGGAAACCCUGAUGCAGCGACGCCGCGUGAGUGAGGAAGUAUUUCGGUAUGUAAAGCUCUAUCAGCAGGGAAGAAAAUGACGGUACCUGACUAAGAAGCCCCGGCUAACUACGUGCCAGCAGCCGCGGUAAUACGUAGGGGGCAAGCGUUAUCCGGAUUUACUGGGUGUAAAGGGAGCGUAGACGGCAUGGCAAGUCUGAAGUGAAAGCCCGGGGCUCAACCGCGGGACUGCUUUGGAAACUGUUAAGCUGGAGUGCAGGAGA
This 305-nucleotide ribosomal RNA is filed under the name uncultured bacterium. RNAcentral's name for it is "bacterial SSU rRNA". It matches the Rfam family "Bacterial small subunit ribosomal RNA", at positions 333 to 655 of the family's 1533-position model. The record is from RNAcentral.